This 325-nucleotide long non-coding RNA is filed under the name Gallus gallus (chicken). Lineage: Eukaryota; Metazoa; Chordata; Aves; Galliformes; Phasianidae. The record is from RNAcentral.
UUCCUGGCAGCCACGGCAGCAUUAAUGGCUUUGUUAAUGAGGUCCUUGUCAGCAUAGCAGAACUUGGCCACUUUAUGCGCAUGGUUGAAUGGCGACAGUUGGUACCGCACUGCCGACGUCCACACCUCCUCCCCACCAACCACACAGGGGAUGGAUUCAGUCCGGCCCUUCAGCUCAGCGAGCGCCUUCUGGAGAGCUGCUCGCUCGGGGCUGCCGGGCUUGAACUCGAGGAUGGGCUCGUUGGUCACCUGGAUGGCUGCAUGGUGCAGGCAUCUCCGCCCGCGGCCCCGCAGCGCCCGCCACAUCCCGCACCGCUCCGCGCCGC